ACUUCUGCUACAGGAUGAUGAUUGACCUGAGACCGGUGGCAUUGGAAAGCUAACUCAAAGCUCUAUCUUGUGUCAAAAGAUGGGCUCAAUAUAAUGGUCGUAAGGUCUCCAUCCAUAGCUAAAUAUCUGACGCGUCUGUGCAACUCCGCACCUCCAAAGGCUCCAAAAGACUCCAAAAUCACCAUAUUUCUCCUAAACGUCCCUGAACCUGUAUAUACUCUAAAUAGACUCCAUAACAUAAUAAUUGUAUCUUAAAACACUUUAAAACACUUAUAGACCAUGAUUAAAAAUGGGUAAAAUAUAUGGUCUAUCAACUCCCUCAGACUUACCCUUUUGCUUGUCCUCAAGCAAAACAGACGGGCAGUCUCUCUGAAAGAGGUUUUAAAAACAGCAGGGACUCACAUGAUUUAAAACUUAGAAUCAUCACCUCUACAAUAUUGCAAUCCACAUCUAAGAAGUCCUAAUCACAAAAGCACAUUAUACAAUAUCCUAGCUUAGCAACCAAAUUCACCUAGCCAACAUCUUAGCAAAUCAUGUCUGAUAUUCUCCUCUACCAACCUCAUUUCUUAAUAUAAAUAAAUGUGUAUGCUUUAUCGAUCACAAGACACAUGGACUCUUACCCCAACAGGUAUCUGAGUAAACAAAUAGUCUUGUUCUGGUUUUUUUACUCUAUAUCUCCCUUCUCUGAAUCUUUUUUAUCUCAAUUCCAAUGAACAAAGAUGCUGAUGCAGUCCAUCUUAUUCACCUUCUUUUCAAUUUUUUUUUAUUAUUAUUAUUUUUUUUAUUAUUAUUUUUUUGCUUUUUCCUUUUCUUGACAAAGUGUAGGCGAAUAGUGGGGUCAUCGGUAAUGUACCUACCCCUCGCUUCCAACAAUGUGUGAUCAUUCUAUUAGAGUAGAAUAAUGGGGUCAUCGGUAAUGUACCUACCCCUCUAAACCGCAAGAAAUCAUCUCAAUCUUUUAUUUUAUUUUAUUAGGAUGCCAAAGGGAGGAGAUAAGGAAACCAAAAUCACUCAGACUUUUACCUUUCAGACCUAAAGGAGGAAUCCGAUCCAGUGUAUACCAAGCCCCAAGACAAGCAGUUAAGUCAAAUUAGGUUGGAGGUCAGCUUCGGUUCCUUCAAACAAUCUCAGCAAGUGUGAACAUAGUUGACAGGUUGAUCCACUUUAGUAUCUUUAGUACUAUCUGCAAUCAGUAAGUCUAGAAUGGUGCGAAAGAGUGGUUAGAUAACAAGCAUGAAUCUGAUAAGUUCAUUAUCCCCUUCUUGACUCAAUAAAAACAGUUUUUGAAAAUAUUUUAAAUAAGACUCAUAAAGGU
RNAcentral lists this long non-coding RNA (1315 nucleotides) under Brassica rapa (field mustard). RNAcentral's name for it is "long non-coding RNA (BRAP_LNC008105)". The record is from RNAcentral. Lineage: Eukaryota; Viridiplantae; Streptophyta; Magnoliopsida; Brassicales; Brassicaceae.